UACGAAGGGUGCAAGCGUUACUCGGAAUUACUGGGCGUAAAGCGCGCGUAGGCGGCUUUGCAAGUCGGGUGUGAAAUCCCCAGGCUUAACCUGGGAACUGCAUUCGAGACUGCAUUGCUAGAGUAUGGGAGAGGGAAGUGGAAUUUCCGGUGUAGCGGUGAAAUGCGUAGAUAUCGGAAGGAACAUCAGUGGCGAAAGCGACUUCCUGGACCAAUACUGACGCUCAUGUGCGAAAGCGUGGGGAGCAAACAGG
This 253-nucleotide ribosomal RNA is filed under the name uncultured bacterium. Its description in RNAcentral is "partial 16S ribosomal RNA". It matches the Rfam family "Bacterial small subunit ribosomal RNA", at positions 524 to 776 of the family's 1533-position model. The record is from RNAcentral.